UGCAGUACCUGUAAACAGUCUGAACAAACUUUAAAAAUUAAAACUUUCAACAACGGAUCUCUUGGUUCUGGCAUCGAUGAAGAACGCAGCGAAAUGCGAUAAGUAGUGUGAAUUGCAGAAUUCAGUGAAUCAUCGAAUCUUUGAACGCACAUUGCGCCCUUUGGUAUUCCUUAGGGCAUGCCUGUUCGAGCGUCAUU
Molecule: ribosomal RNA, 197 nt
Filed under: Sporormiella isomera
Lineage: Eukaryota; Fungi; Ascomycota; Dothideomycetes; Pleosporales; Sporormiaceae
Description: 5.8S ribosomal RNA
Rfam family: 5.8S ribosomal RNA (bases 42-195)
About the family: 5.8S ribosomal RNA (5.8S rRNA) is a component of the large subunit of the eukaryotic ribosome. It is transcribed by RNA polymerase I as part of the 45S precursor that also contains 18S and 28S rRNA.
Source: RNAcentral